UGCGUGCCUCCUUCCCUGGCUCCCGGGCUCCUGCCUGCCAGCGGUCUCCCUCCCAAGGCCACCGAGGCCGUCCCGUGCCUCUCCGGGUUCUCUUCCAACCGGAGAGACGGGGACUCCAGUUUCUGGUGGGAACUGGCCUGGGCCCUCCUGCUGCUGAGUCCCCAUCUCUUCUCCACCGCUGCCUCUGGUCCCUGGCCCGCAGUCCCGUGGGUGACCAGAGGCCACCUCUCCCAGAGUACACAAGCUGGCAGGUCACGUGGAGCCUUCCAGCCCCUGCAGAUGGUCAGCCACCGUCCCCCCAGAACAUGGUGGGCAUCUCCGGCUUAGGCUGCCCUCCAUGAGAGCAAGCGCUGGUGGAAGUGCCAAAGGGAGACGCCGACGAGAAGAGAGAGGGAAGGGGUCUGGAUGAGGAGAGACCGUGGCUGUGAGCUGAGGCUUCUUCCAGUCCCUGGACUCUGGGCCUCACUUCUGCCCCCCACACUCACACUGGAACUCCUUUCCCGGUUGUGGGGAGGGCGAGGCUGCGGGCUUCCUGAGCGCCUUACAGGGAUGGGCAAAACUGCCACACCUGUCUGGGAGACAAGGCCUGGGCCCAGUGUGUCAGCCAACUCCACCUGCUGCCUGCCAAGGACAGGGUGGCAGCUGGGCAAUGGCCUUUGGUGUAGAACCUGCCCUCCUGGUCUCUAGGACAAGAGCAGAGACCCCCACAUAUCCCUGUGACUCCUGCCCUCUACAGACGAGCUUCCUUACCACCUGCAUUCCACCACAGUUGCCCUCAGCUCCCAGAAUGCCAUCUCUCCACUCUCCAGAUAUGCAUUUAUUGAGCACCUACUGUAUGUCUGCACUCACUUUGGAGCCAAGCAUGUAGUCCACACCAAAGGCCAGCCAUGAUGACCUGCCAGACCCAAGUCCCAGGCACUGAGCUCUGAGCUGCUGUCUCGGGUAGACCCCCCUCCUCCCCUGGCCUGGGAUGCACCCCAGAAAUCGGGCCCAAGAACCUGAUUCUGAAACCAUGAGGCCUGGAGCUCAGUAGAUGCUGGUGAAUAGCUCUAAGAGACAAGGAAUGAGGAGUGUGGGCUGGGCAGAAAAGACCCGCUCCUAAAAGAGCAAACCAAUCUGGGCGAACACAACACAGUCUGGGAAAAUUUAAUAACACAGUGGCACUUGUUCACGAAGACGAAUGAAACACUGCACAAACCCCGAACUGCCCAAACAGCCAGGGAGCCCGCUUCGCCGGGAAGGGUCUCCCAGGUGCCUACCACAGGCUGGGGACCAGAGGAGUGGAGAGGAGAGGAGAAGGCAAGCUCUGCCCCAGGAGAGGCAGGAGGUCCUCGCCCCCACUGGAGGGUGGCUGAGGGCCAGGGGAAGAGCCACAGGUGAAGUCCAGGGCACGUCAGAGGUGCUGGAAGAAUGGGAUCUUGUGGUAGAGGAGAAGGCAGCCUGGGCACUCAUGAUGUCCCCUAGUGGAGAAACCCAACUUCCAGGAAGAUGCCACAGGGCAGUGACUGCAAACAGUAAUCGCUGUGAAUGGGAAGCAAUCUAAAUAGGAUUGGCUUUUUUUUUUUAAUGUAG
Jaculus jaculus (lesser Egyptian jerboa) is the source of this 1572-nucleotide long non-coding RNA. RefSeq lists it as uncharacterized. The transcript is spliced from 3 exons. NCBI's taxonomy places the organism in Eukaryota, Metazoa, Chordata, Mammalia, Rodentia, Dipodidae. The record is from RefSeq and is a predicted model, not a curated record.